RNAcentral lists this ribosomal RNA (320 nucleotides) under uncultured Prevotella sp. RNAcentral describes it as "bacterial SSU rRNA". It matches the Rfam family "Bacterial small subunit ribosomal RNA", at positions 28 to 339 of the family's 1533-position model. The record is from RNAcentral. Lineage: Bacteria; Pseudomonadati; Bacteroidota; Bacteroidia; Bacteroidales; Prevotellaceae.
GAUGAACGCUAGCUACAGGCUUAACACAUGCAAGUCGAGGGGCAGCAUAAUCGAAGCUUGCUUUGAUUGAUGGCGACCGGCGCACGGGUGAGUAACGCGUAUCCAACCUUCCCCGUAGUAGGGCACAGCCCGGCGAAAGUCGGAUUAAUUCCCUAUGUUCUCCAAUGCAGGCAUCUAAGUUGGAGCAAAGAUUCAUCGCUAUGGGAUGGGGAUGCGUCUGAUUAGGUUGCAGGCGGGGUAACGGCCCACCUGGCCAACGAUCAGUAGGGGUUCUGAGAGGAAGGUCCCCCACAUUGGAACUGAGACACGGUCCAAACUCC